RNAcentral lists this unclassified non-coding RNA (281 nucleotides) under Hyaloscyphaceae sp. Its description in RNAcentral is "partial contains 5.8S ribosomal RNA, internal transcribed spacer 2, and large subunit ribosomal RNA". The stretch from base 1 to 71 matches the Rfam family "5.8S ribosomal RNA", at positions 84 to 154 of the family's 154-position model. The record is from RNAcentral. Lineage: Eukaryota; Fungi; Ascomycota; Leotiomycetes; Helotiales; Hyaloscyphaceae.
GUGAGUCAUCGAAUCUUUGAACGCACAUUGCGCCCCUUGGUAUUCCGAGGGGCAUGCCUGUUCGAGCGUCAUUUCAACCCUCAAGCAUAGCUUGGUCUUGGGCUCUGCCGGUCACGGCUAGCCUUAAAAGCAGUGGCGGUGCUGUCGAGCUCUACGCGUAGUAACUAAAUUGUCGCGUGUGAUCCUCGGUGGAUGCUUGCCAACAACCUCUAAUUUUCUAUGGUUGACCUCGGAUCAGGUAGGGAUACCCGCUGAACUUAAGCAUAUCAAUAAGCGGAGGA